Molecule: ribosomal RNA, 250 nt
Filed under: uncultured Ruminococcus sp.
Lineage: Bacteria; Bacillati; Bacillota; Clostridia; Eubacteriales; Oscillospiraceae
Description: partial 16S ribosomal RNA
Rfam family: Bacterial small subunit ribosomal RNA
Source: RNAcentral
UACGUAGGGGGCAAGCGUUAUCCGGAUUUACUGGGUGUAAAGGGAGCGUAGACGGAGCAGCAAGUCUGAUGUGAAAACCCGGGGCUCAACCCCGGGACUGCAUUGGAAACUGUUGAUCUGGAGUGCCGGAGAGGUAAGCGGAAUUCCUAGUGUAGUGGUGAAAUGCGUAGAUAUUAGGAGGAACACCAGUGGCGAAGGCGGCUUACUGGACGGUAACUGACGUUGAGGCUCGAAAGCGUGGGGAGCAAAC